This 522-nucleotide ribosomal RNA is filed under the name Hyperolius cinereus (ashy reed frog). RNAcentral describes it as "partial 16S ribosomal RNA". It matches the Rfam family "Bacterial large subunit ribosomal RNA", at positions 1859 to 2596 of the family's 2925-position model. Lineage: Eukaryota; Metazoa; Chordata; Amphibia; Anura; Hyperoliidae. The record is from RNAcentral.
CUGCCCCGUGAUUAAAUUUAACGGCCGCGGUAUCUUAACCGUGCAAAGGUAGCAUAAUCAAUUGUCCUUUAAAUUAGGACUAGUAUGAACGGCAUCACGAGGGUUUAACUGUCUCCCCCUUUUAAUCAAUGAAACUAAUUUUCCCGUGAAGAACGGGAAUGUAAUUAUAAGACGAGAAGACCCCAUGGAGCUUUAAACUUAACAUCACUUAUUAAAUAAUAAAACACACCACAUAAUAAGAGUGCUUUAUAGUUUUUGGUUGGGGCGACCCUGGAGAAUAACAAAUCCUCCAGAUUGAAAUGAAUAACUAACCUUAUACAAGAACCACAAUUCAAACAAACAAAAAUUUGACAAUACUGACCCAGAAUAAACUGACCAGUGAACCAAGUUACCCUGGGGAUAACAGCGCAAUCCAUUUUAAGAGCCCUUAUCGACAAAUGGGUUUACGACCUCGAUGUUGGAUCAGGGUAUCCAAGCAGCGCAGCCGUUGCUAGUGGUUCGUUUGUUCAACGAUUAAAACCC